RNAcentral lists this ribosomal RNA (466 nucleotides) under uncultured bacterium. RNAcentral describes it as "partial 16S ribosomal RNA". It matches the Rfam family "Bacterial small subunit ribosomal RNA", at positions 338 to 795 of the family's 1533-position model. The record is from RNAcentral.
CCUACGGGUGGCAGCAGUAGGGAAUCUUCCACAAUGGGCGAAAGCCUGAUGGAGCAACGCCGCGUGGGUGAAGAAGGUCUUCGGAUCGUAAAACCCUGUUGUUAGAGAAGAAAGUGCGUGAGAGUAACUGUUCACGUUUCGACGGUAUCUAACCAGAAAGCCACGGCUAACUACGUGCCAGCAGCAGCGGUAAUACGUAGGUGGCAAGCGUUAUCCGGUUUAAUUGGGCGUAAAGGGAACGCGGGCGGUCUUUUAAGUCUGAUGUGAAAGCCUUCGGCUUAACCGGAGUGGUGGAUUGGAGACUGGGAGACUUGAGUGGAGAAGAGGGGAGUGGAACUCCAUGUGGAGCGGUGAAAAGCGUAGAUAUAUGGAAGAACACCAGUGGCGAAAGGGGCUCUCUGGUCUGUAUCUGACGCUGAGGUUCGAAAGCGUGGGUAGCAAACAGGAUUAGAUACCCCGGGUAGUC